CCCGGGUUCGAGUCCCGGCAACGGAGUUUUUUUAAUAGUUUUUCUUUU
Molecule: small RNA, 48 nt
Filed under: Arabidopsis thaliana (thale cress)
Lineage: Eukaryota; Viridiplantae; Streptophyta; Magnoliopsida; Brassicales; Brassicaceae
Description: ATSL122050
Source: RNAcentral